UAAGGAAUAUUGCUCAAUGGGAGAAAUCCUGAAGCAGCAACGCCGCGUGGAGGAUGAAGGGUCUAUGACUUGUAAACUCCUGUAAAGAAGGAAAAAAUUCCCAUUAGAUGGGAGAUGAUGGUACUUCUGGAGUAAGCCCCGGCUAACUACGUGCCAGCAGCCGCGGUAAUACGUAGGGGGCAAGCGUUGUCCGGAUUUACUGGGUGUAAAGGGUGCUCAGGCGGAUUUGUAAGUCAGAGGUGAAAUCUUACAGCUUAACUGUGAAACUGCCUUUGAUACUGCAAGACUAGAGUAUGGAAGAGAGUGAUGGAAUAUCUGGUGUAGCAGUGAAAUGCGUAGAUAUCAGAUAGAACACCAAUGGCGAAGGCAGUCACUUGGUCCAUUACUGACGCUAAAGCACGAAAGCGUGGGUAGCAAACA
This 420-nucleotide ribosomal RNA is filed under the name uncultured bacterium. RNAcentral's name for it is "bacterial SSU rRNA". It matches the Rfam family "Bacterial small subunit ribosomal RNA", at positions 355 to 774 of the family's 1533-position model. The record is from RNAcentral.